RNAcentral lists this ribosomal RNA (305 nucleotides) under uncultured bacterium. Its description in RNAcentral is "bacterial SSU rRNA". It matches the Rfam family "Bacterial small subunit ribosomal RNA", at positions 333 to 635 of the family's 1533-position model. The record is from RNAcentral.
CGUGCCCUACGGGGCGCAGCAGUGAGGAAUAUUGGUCAAUGGGCGCAAGCCUGAACCAGCCAAGUCGCGUGAGGGAAGACGGCCCUACGGGUUGUAAACCUCUUUUGCCGGGGAGCAAGCCUGAGCACGUGUGCCCAGGCGGAGAGUACCCGGAGAAAAAGCAUCGGCUAACUCCGUGCCAGCAGCCGCGGUAAUACGGAGGAUGCGAGCGUUAUCCGGAUUUAUUGGGUUUAAAGGGUGCGCAGGCGGAAGAUCAAGUCAGCGGUAAAAUUGAGAGGCUCAACCUCUUCGAGCCGUUGAAACUG